This is a long non-coding RNA of Gadus morhua (Atlantic cod), 418 nucleotides long. NCBI's taxonomy places the organism in Eukaryota, Metazoa, Chordata, Actinopteri, Gadiformes, Gadidae. The record is from Ensembl.
CCACUCAUACUUAAAUACUAUUUUACUGAGUACAUUGCUAUACAUACAGACACAGGUGGUGCUGCUGUACACAUCACUGCUUCGCCUGUCCUUUGUGGCUCCAGCCUUCAUGAGGAGAGAGAAGCCCGGCCAGGUGAGAGUCUGCUCACCUGAAGAGACAGACUCUGAGGAGGUGCAGCUCUGGACCUCUGGAUUGACCGAGUCUCUCAGGGCGGGGCUGGAGUGACCAGGAGGUCUCUGGAGGGACCACUCCUUCUCAUCCAGAGAUCAACCCCCCCGGAGGAGGAGUAGAGAGGGGCUCUGCAGUCCAGGAGGAGGUCUCCUUGGGUUAGCUCUGAUCCCACCACUGCUUCCCUGCAAUAACACCUUUUUGUGCGCGUAUGUGUGUGUGUGUGUGUGUGUGUGUGUGUGUGUGUGU